This 426-nucleotide ribosomal RNA is filed under the name uncultured bacterium. RNAcentral describes it as "partial 16S ribosomal RNA". It matches the Rfam family "Bacterial small subunit ribosomal RNA", at positions 354 to 796 of the family's 1533-position model. The record is from RNAcentral.
GUGAGGAAUUUUCCGCAAUGGGCGAAAGCCUGACGGAGCAAUGCCGCGUGAAGGAUGAAGGCCUAUGGGUUGUAAACUUCUUUUCUUAGAGAAGAAUAUUGACGGUAUCUGAGGAAUAAGCAUCGGCUAACUCUGUGCCAGCAGCCGCGGUAAGACAGAGGAUGCAAGCGUUCUACGGAAUGAUUGGGCGUAAAGCGUCUGUAGGUGGCUUCAAAAGUCUCCUGUCAAAUAUCAGGGCUUAACCCUGGGCUGGCAGGAGAAACUCUGAGGCUAGAGUUUGGUAGGGGCGGAGGGAAUUCCCGGUGGAGCGGUGAAAUGCGGAGAGAUCGGGAGGAACACCAAAGGCGAAAGCACUCUGCUGGGCCACAACUGACACUGAGAGACGAAAGCGAGGGGAGCAAAAGGGAUUAGAAACCCUUGUAGUCC